RNAcentral lists this long non-coding RNA (3250 nucleotides) under Salmo salar (Atlantic salmon). RNAcentral's name for it is "lncRNA (ENSSSAG00000106733.1)". The record is from RNAcentral. Lineage: Eukaryota; Metazoa; Chordata; Actinopteri; Salmoniformes; Salmonidae.
CUUUCCUUCCAGUUCUCUGCUGCCAUUGACUGGAACGAAUUGCAAAAAUCGCUGAAGCUGGAGACUUACAUUUCCCUCACUAACUUUAAACAUCAGCUAUCUGAGCAGCUAACCGAUCGCUGCAGCUGUACAUAGUCCAUCUGUAAAUAGCCCACCCAAUCUACCUACCUCAUCCCCAUAUUGUUUUUAUUUACUUUGCUGCGCUUUUGCACACCAGUAUCACUACUUACACACCACCAUCUGCUCAUCAUCAUCUGCUCAUCUAUCACUCCAGUGUUAAUCUGCUAAAUUGUGAAGUACAGUAGAGGAUGUCAGGACAACAAGGCUGGACAAUCAAGGGUGGCUUGACCGGGUGGUUGAUGUACACAGGGACCGAGGAUUCCCCAGGCUGAGUGAUCCAGACCAUGAAAUGGCUGAGCCAGCCAUGAUACUGUUAUAUCGAGAAAACGGUGAGAUGUGACUACAGUGUAAAAAAAUAUAUCCCAAAAUGGGUCCAUGUUUUGUUGUGUUUAUCAUUCAAUGCCCGUUCUGAUAAUGUUUACACAACCAACUACAAUUACAAUCUGAGCAAACAAUGAAAUGGAAAAUAAAUGAUUACUAUAUGUCGUGUCUUUGCUAUGCCGGAUUAAGUGAUAUGACAUGCUAUUCUAUAAAAUCAUUUCUCUGUAAUUAAUAUUACCUGAUUGAACUAAUCAUGUAAAUGUAAUUAACUAGAAAGUCGGGGCACUACGAAAUAAUAUUUAUAGAGCUGUUAUCUUCCGAAUAAACUCUUAAAGACCUGGUAAUCUUUUACCUCAAUAGCAGUCAAUUCUUAAUCGUCACCUUAUUCAGUCUCAUCUGAAGUCGUAGAAUUCUUGGUUAUCUUCACGAACCCUGGCUAACAAGUUGAAUCAGCAAUACAACAUUUGGUUUAAUUAUGUAUUUAAUAAAUACCUAAACAAUCACACAGAAUUACACAGGAUGGGUCAUACAUUGAUUACUAAUUAUGUCAUAAAAGAAAAUGUCCCUAGUGGACGGAACCGAUAUGACGGCUGGUUACACAAAGAAAGGGGGUUGGGUUUUGAAUGAAAGCGUGGGAAGACUGAGAAACAAAGGAAUAAGGGUCUCUGAUCGGACCUUGUGAAGCUAUGCUAUCAUAAAUACAGAAUCUUAUGCAUUCUAAAUAACCACCCAUUUGCAAAAGGAAAAUGCAAGAAAUAUUUACUCUGAGCGGUGCUUCAAUAGGUUGGUCAUAGAUGGAAGGCCGUGUUGCCCAACAGAUCUCCCUUGUCCUUUGAAAAAUAUGUCUUGUGGUAGAACGGAUACGUUGUCGUGUGUUUUGUAGAAGAGAUACUUUGUCCGUCCUUUCCUAGCCCAUGUUUACAGCUGCUGUUGCUCACUCAACGGCUAGGAGGUAUCACUUCUUUAGUGAAUAAGAGUUCAAAGUUCAUACCAAGUUGUGUUUAAUUUUUGUAAAGGGCUUAUGUAGUAGGGAGAGAAGGGCGUGUUUCAUAGUUCACAACCAACGUCUUUUCACAUGGGCCACUGAGUUGAGCCUAGUUCACUUAUGAAAACCAAUUCUCUCAUUUAAAAGCUAAAAUUACAUUUCAUCUGUUCACAAAUAGUUUAAUAUUUAAACGUUUAAAUUGCACAACAAUUCCAUGUGAAUCUGAUAACUAUAAUGUGUCGACUUUCCAAGAUACUGUAAGAUGUUUAUUGAUAUGCGCAAUGUAUUUGGUACAGAAUAUUAAUUAUGCUUUGACCAAGUGACAGCCUUAUUCUAAGGGAACAAUGUGCAAGAACAAUGUUCCUGAAGUUGGCCUAUUGUCAUACGUCGGUGUUUGGAGGGUGGAACUAAACAAGCAUUUCCGCUCUAGGACUAGAAUGACAUGGAAAUAGGGGUGGCAACAUCCUCUGGAGGGGUCCUUUAAGGGGAAUUUAGAUAUUGUAGAUAUUCAACCUUCAUAGUAUGAUCUGUAGUGCUCAAACUAUUGUCAAACUGAAACAUUGCUUUGUAGUGUCAACAGCAACUCUGUCAACAUGCAAUAAUUAUAUUCAACAUCCUCAGCCAAUUAGCAGAUGAUAAUGUUGCAUGUUGCAUGUUACAAUUGACUAAAUGCAACUGACAGGCCAGAUUAAGAUCUCCAGAUCAUCUGGGGGGACUAUACUAUUCUGUUGAAGGAAAUAGCUUUCUCAUAAUGUGUUUUUUCCAGGCAUUCACAAGGAGAUAGUACAUUUCAGAAUGUUCCAUGUGGUUUUUCUCCUUCUCUAAAGUAAUCAGGGAGAUUGCAGCUUCACCACACCUCCACCAUUCACCAUCUAAAAUAUUCAACAACUGGGCGUCUGGAGGGACGAGGAAUCGAAAUGUGUGAAAGCGUAAUGUGGUUAGGAGAAAUUAUGGAGGAGAAAUCAUAUCCUGGUUCUGCUUUCAAUGUAGGAAACACCCGUGGGACGUAUGAAUAAGGAAAUGUGGUGAUUGCUGCUAGUUUUUUCCAGUUUCCACCGUAGUGUACGUUGAUAAAUAGUAAAAAAAAUAAUCCCUGAAUGGCAGGCCGGGCAAUUUACAUUUCAAGGUGUUAAUAACUUUCCAGCAGUUAGGGCUGAAGCUAAGAGCGCUGGGAUUAUAGAGACAUUCAGACGGCACUCUUCAAUUUAACUUGAUCUGUUUCCCUAUAGACGUGCACGAAUGUCUCACAUUUGGCUUCCUAAGCAUGUAGCUUAUAGUGCUUGUUUGUUUUUUAAAAAGUCACUGAACAUGUCGGUUGAUGAGAUUUCAGUCUUGGAGUUGUUUUUCAAAUCAAAUCAAAUCACAUUUUAUUGGUAACAUACACAUAUUUAGCAGAUGCUUUUUUGGGUACAGGAACAAUGGUGGACAGCAGACUGGGAUCGGGAGAGAUUGAAUAUGUCUGUAAACACUCCAGCCAGCUGGUCUGCGCAUACUCUGAGGACGCGGUUAGGGAUGCCGUCUGGGCCGGCAGCAUUGCGAGGGUUAACACAUUUAAAUGUUUUACUCACGUCGGCCAUGGAGAACGAGAGCUCACAGUCCUUGGGAGCGGGCCACGUCGGUGGCACUGUCUUAUCCUCAAAGCGGGCGAAGAAGGUGUUUAGCUUGUCUGGUAGCAAGACGGCGGUGUCCGCGACGUGGCUGGUUUUCCCUUUGUAAUCUGUGAUUGUCUGUAGACCCUGCCACUUACAUCUCGAGUCUGAGCUGUUGAAUUGCAACUCCACUUUGUCUCUGUGCUGAUGUUUUGCCUGUUUGAUUGCCUUACAG